GUCUAUAUACGUAUAGCAUAUCAAUAAGCGGAGGAAAAGAAACUAACUAGGAUUCCCCUCAGUAACGGCGAGUGAAGCGGGAAGAGCUCAAAUUUGAAAUCUUCAAGGUUCUACCUUGACGAAUUGUAGUUUAAAGAAGUGUUUUCUGUUGGAGUUUUGGUAAAAGUUCUUUGGAAUAGGACAUCAUAGAGGGUGAGAAUCCCGUAUUUGACCAUUAUUUCCAACUUUGUGAUACACUUUCAAAGAGUCGGAUUGUUUGGGAAUGCAGUCCAAAAUGGGUGGUAAAUUUCAUCUAAGGCUAAAUACUGGCGAGAGACCGAUAGCGAACAAGUACCGUGAGGGAAAGAUGAAAAGAACUUUGAAAAGAGAGUUAAACAGUACGUGAAAUUGUCAAAAGGGAAGCGUUUGACACCAGUGUUGUUUUCUCGAAAAUCAAUUAAAAAUAAGAUUGAUUUUGUGUUGUAUUGACCUUCAUCAGCUUUCUUCACUCUUUUCUUGUCUUUUUUAAUGCACUUUUCGUUUAACAAGUCAACAUCAAUUUCUUUUGUUGUAAAAGAGGUCAUUGGAAGGUGGCUUUCUUUUCGGAUGAAAGUGUUUAUAGCCUUUGGCCUCUGCAAUCGGAGAGAUUGAGGUCUGCAGCGUAGAUCCUUCGGGGUUAGAUACGUAGAUGCUAAGUUAUAGUUUUUAUAGACAACUUGUUGACUAUAAUCAGUCAUGUAGCUUACUCGCUUAUGGCUAUUUUACCUACGCUUAGGAUGUUGACGAUCAGCUGAGCGCG
This 778-nucleotide ribosomal RNA is filed under the name uncultured Neocallimastigales. RNAcentral describes it as "partial large subunit ribosomal RNA". It matches the Rfam family "Eukaryotic large subunit ribosomal RNA", at positions 27 to 634 of the family's 3401-position model. The record is from RNAcentral. Lineage: Eukaryota; Fungi; Neocallimastigomycota; Neocallimastigomycetes; Neocallimastigales.